UGCAUGGCCGUCGUCAGUUCGUACUGUGAAGCAUCCUGUUAAGUCAGGCAACGAGCGAGACCCACGCCAACAGUUGCCAGCUCGUCCUCCGGGGAUGGUGGGGACACUGUUGGGACCGCCUCUGCUAAAGAGGAGGAAGGAAUGGGCAACGGUAGGUCAGCAUGCCCCGAAUUAUCUGGGCUACACGCGGGCUACAAUGGGUGGGACAAUGGGUAUCGACACCGAAAGGUGAAGGCAAUCUCCUAAACCCAUCCGUAGUUCGGAUUGUGGGCUGCAACUCGCCCACAUGAAGCUGGAAUCUGUAGUAAUCGUGUCUCAAAAUGGCACGGUGAAUAUGUCCCUGCUCCUU
Molecule: ribosomal RNA, 349 nt
Filed under: uncultured Methanomicrobiales archaeon
Lineage: Archaea; Methanobacteriati; Methanobacteriota; Methanomicrobia; Methanomicrobiales
Description: bacterial SSU rRNA
Rfam family: Archaeal small subunit ribosomal RNA
Source: RNAcentral